RNAcentral lists this ribosomal RNA (529 nucleotides) under Limosilactobacillus reuteri. Its description in RNAcentral is "bacterial SSU rRNA". It matches the Rfam family "Bacterial small subunit ribosomal RNA", at positions 1 to 493 of the family's 1533-position model. Lineage: Bacteria; Bacillati; Bacillota; Bacilli; Lactobacillales; Lactobacillaceae. The record is from RNAcentral.
UAGAGUUUGAUCCUGGCUCAGGAUGAACGCCGGCGGUGUGCCUAAUACAUGCAAGUCGUACGCACUGGCCCAACUGAUUGAUGGUGCUUGCACCUGAUUGACGAUGGAUCACCAGUGAGUGGCGGACGGGUGAGUAACACGUAGGUAACCUGCCCCGGAGCGGGGGAUAACAUUUGGAAACAGAUGCUAAUACCGCAUAACAACAAAAGCCACAUGGCUUUUGUUUGAAAGAUGGCUUUGGCUAUCACUCUGGGAUGGACCUGCGGUGCAUUAGCUAGUUGGUAAGGUAACGGCUUACCAAGGCGAUGAUGCAUAGCCGAGUUGAGAGACUGAUCGGCCACAAUGGAACUGAGACACGGUCCAUACUCCUACGGGAGGCAGCAGUAGGGAAUCUUCCACAAUGGGCGCAAGCCUGAUGGAGCAACACCGCGUGAGUGAAGAAGGGUUUCGGCUCGUAAAGCUCUGUUGUUGGAGAAGAACGUGCGUGAGAGUAACUGUUCACGCAGUGACGUAUCCACCAGAUGACGAU